This is a non-coding RNA of Phascolarctos cinereus (koala), 514 nucleotides long. The record is from RefSeq and is a predicted model, not a curated record. Lineage: Eukaryota; Metazoa; Chordata; Mammalia; Diprotodontia; Phascolarctidae.
AGAGAAGCAAAAUGAGGAAAUGAAAGCAGGAGUCUAGGGACCCAGCCAAGGCCGCUAACAGGCAAGUCCUCUCCAAAGCUGUAUACUCCAUGCCCAGAACACAUUUCCCGUCACCCUCCAGCUCUUGAGAUGCCUGAUUUCCUUCUUGACUUAAUGCCGGUACUGCUUUCUGCAUGAAUCCUUGCCGGGUCCUUCUAGCUGCCAGUGACUCCUCCCUGACGACAAGGACUGAAGCUCUCCUGACAAAAAAGGACUUAAGCUAUGGGGAAAUGGCUUUGACCUUGAGCCUGGCCCUGCAUCAAGACUAGAAAAGAUUGCUUCAUUUCCUGAUGUUGAGAAAUGCCUGCAUCUUUACCAGCUCCUAUUUCACAUCCAAGACAGAGAGAAAAAGUAAUUUGUCCUAUUAAGCUGUUCAGAGGAAGGUGUGCUAAGCCAACUCCUGCCUGAGAAGGAGGGAGAGACCUCCUCCAGGAAGCCUGCUUCACCCUCCUCUGCCUCACUCUAUUACCGCACA